CAGCAGCCACGGGAAUACAGAGGGUGCGAGCGUUAAUCGGAUUUACUGGGCGUAAAGCGCGCGUAGGUGGUUCAUUAAGUUGGAUGUGAAAGCCCUGGGCUCAACCUGGGAACUGCAUCCAAAACUGGUGAGCUAGAGUACGGUAGAGGGUAGUGGAAUUUCCUGUGUAGCGGUGAAAUGCGUAGAUAUAGGAAGGAACACCAGUGGCGAAGGCGACUACCUGGACUGAUACUGACACUGAGGUGCGAAAGCGUGGGGAGCAAACAGGAUUAGAGACCCCAGUAGUCCCUGUCUCUUAUAC
This 301-nucleotide ribosomal RNA is filed under the name uncultured bacterium. RNAcentral describes it as "partial 16S ribosomal RNA". It matches the Rfam family "Bacterial small subunit ribosomal RNA", at positions 509 to 807 of the family's 1533-position model. The record is from RNAcentral.